UACGUAGGGUGCAAGCGUUGUCCGGAAUUAUUGGGCGUAAAGAGCUCGUAGGCGGUUUGUCGCGUCUGCUGUGAAAACUGGAGGCUCAACCUCCAGCCUGCAGUGGGUACGGGCAGACUAGAGUGUGGUAGGGGAGACUGGAAUUCUUGGUGUAGCGGUGAAAUGCGCAGAUAUCAGGAGGAACACCGGUGGCGAAGGCGGGUCUCUGGGCCAUUACUGACACUGAGGAGCGAAAGCGUGGGGAGCAAACAGG
This 253-nucleotide ribosomal RNA is filed under the name uncultured bacterium. RNAcentral's name for it is "partial 16S ribosomal RNA". It matches the Rfam family "Bacterial small subunit ribosomal RNA", at positions 524 to 776 of the family's 1533-position model. The record is from RNAcentral.